RNAcentral lists this ribosomal RNA (445 nucleotides) under Pseudomonas putida. RNAcentral's name for it is "bacterial SSU rRNA". It matches the Rfam family "Bacterial small subunit ribosomal RNA", at positions 77 to 518 of the family's 1533-position model. The record is from RNAcentral. Lineage: Bacteria; Pseudomonadati; Pseudomonadota; Gammaproteobacteria; Pseudomonadales; Pseudomonadaceae.
AGCUUGCUCUUCGAUUCAGCGGCGGACGGGUGAGUAAUGCCUAGGAAUCUGCCUGGUAGUGGGGGACAACGUUUCGAAAGGAACGCUAAUACCGCAUACGUCCUACGGGAGAAAGCAGGGGACCUUCGGGCCUUGCGCUAUCAGAUGAGCCUAGGUCGGAUUAGCUAGUUGGUGAGGUAAUGGCUCACCAAGGCGACGAUCCGUAACUGGUCUGAGAGGAUGAUCAGUCACACUGGAACUGAGACACGGUCCAGACUCCUACGGGAGGCAGCAGUGGGGAAUAUUGGACAAUGGGCGAAAGCCUGAUCCAGCCAUGCCGCGUGUGUGAAGAAGGUCUUCGGAUUGUAAAGCACUUUAAGUUGGGAGGAAGGGCAUUAACCUAAUACGUUAGUGUUUUGACGUUACCGACAGAAUAAGCACCGGCUAACUCUGUGCCAGCAGCCGC